Molecule: long non-coding RNA, 221 nt
Organism: Pezoporus occidentalis (night parrot)
Lineage: Eukaryota; Metazoa; Chordata; Aves; Psittaciformes; Psittacidae
Exons: 3
Source: RefSeq, a predicted model, not a curated record
UUGUCCUAAUAGGAGACGUGAUUAAAGACACCAAUAUUAUCAUGCUCAUCUUACGUGAUAGAUGGCUUUUACAUCAGCUAUGCAAAAAUCAGGGGAAAAUGCAGGAGGGAGUUAAAAAAAUGAAGCCCCUGAACACCAAUGGAGCUAACUCAGGUCCUGGGUAAAUUGUUUAACCAGUAAUCCCUGUGUUGUGCUUUUGGUGCCCACAUGUUCAAGGAUGA